CAGUAGCCGCGGUAAUACGUAGGUGGCAAGCGUUGUCCGGAAUUAUUGGGCGUAAAGCGCGCGCAGGCGGGUAGGUCAGUCUGUCUUAAAAGUUCGGGGCUUAACCCCGUGAUGGGAUGGAAACUGCCAAUCUAGAGUAUCGGAGAGGAAAGUGGAAUUCCUAGUGUAGCGGUGAAAUGCGUAGAUAUUAGGAAGAACACCAGUGGCGAAGGCGACUUUCUGGACGAAAACUGACGCUGAGGCGCGAAAGCCAGGGGAGCGAACGGGAUUAGAUACCCGGGUAGUCCCUGUCUCUUAUACA
This 301-nucleotide ribosomal RNA is filed under the name uncultured bacterium. Its description in RNAcentral is "partial 16S ribosomal RNA". It matches the Rfam family "Bacterial small subunit ribosomal RNA", at positions 509 to 809 of the family's 1533-position model. The record is from RNAcentral.